RNAcentral lists this ribosomal RNA (305 nucleotides) under uncultured bacterium. RNAcentral describes it as "bacterial SSU rRNA". It matches the Rfam family "Bacterial small subunit ribosomal RNA", at positions 331 to 655 of the family's 1533-position model. The record is from RNAcentral.
UUCAACCUACGGGGGGCAGCAGUGGGGGAUAUUGCACAAUGGGGGGAACCCUGAUGCAGCGACGCCGCGUGAACGAAGAAAUAUUUCGGUAUGUAAAGUUCUAUCAGCAGGGAAGAAAAUGACAGUACCUGACCAAGAAGCCCCGGCUAACUACGUGCCAGCAGCCGCGGUAAUACGUAGGGGGCGAGCGUUAUCCGGAUUUACUGGGUGUAACGGGAGCGUAGACGGAAAGGCAAGUCAGAAGUGAAAACCCACGGCUCAACCAUGGGACUGCUUUUGAAACUGUCAAACUAGAGUACGGGAGA